Molecule: ribosomal RNA, 253 nt
Filed under: uncultured bacterium
Lineage: Bacteria
Description: partial 16S ribosomal RNA
Rfam family: Bacterial small subunit ribosomal RNA
Source: RNAcentral
UACGCAGGGCGCAAGCGUUAUCCGGAAUUAUUGGGCGUAAAGAGCUCGUAGGCGGUUUGUCGCGUCUGCCGUGAAAGUCCGGGGCUCAACUCCGGAUCUGCGGUGGGUACGGGCAGACUAGAGUGAUGUAGGGGAGACUGGAAUUCCUGGUGUAGCGGUGAAAUGCGCAGAUAUCAGGAGGAACACCGGUGGCGAAGGCGGGUCUCUGGGCAAUAACUGACGCUGAGGAGCGAAAGCGUGGGGAGCGAACAGG